AUUGAACGCUGGCGGCAGGCCCAACACAUGCAAGUCGAACGGUAACAGGAAACAGCUUGCUGUUUCGCUGACGAGUGGCGGACGGGUGAGUAAUGUCUGGGAAACUGCCUGAUGGAGGGGGAUAACUACUGGAAACGGUAGCUAAUACCGCAUAACGUCGCAAGACCAAAGAGGGGGACCCUCGGGCCUCUUGCCAUCGGAUGUGCCCAGAUGGGAUUAGCUUGUUGGUGGGGUAACAGCUCACCAAGGCGACGAUCCCUAGCUGGUCUGAGAGGAUGACCAGCCACACUGGAACUGAGACACGGUCCAGACUCCUACGGGAGGCAGCAGUGGGGAAUAUUGCACAAUGGGCGCAAGCCUGAUGCAGCCAUGCCGCGUGUAUGAAGAAGGCCUUCGGGUUGUAAAGUACUUUCAGCGGGGAGGAAGGGAGUAAAGUUAAUACCUUUGCUCAUUGACGUUACCCGCAGAAGAAGCACCGGCUAACUCCGUG
RNAcentral lists this ribosomal RNA (490 nucleotides) under uncultured bacterium. RNAcentral's name for it is "partial 16S ribosomal RNA". It matches the Rfam family "Bacterial small subunit ribosomal RNA", at positions 30 to 507 of the family's 1533-position model. The record is from RNAcentral.